This 71-nucleotide transfer RNA is filed under the name Loxodonta africana (African savanna elephant). It matches the Rfam family "tRNA". Rfam says of the family: Transfer RNA (tRNA) molecules are approximately 80 nucleotides in length. Their secondary structure includes four short double-helical elements and three loops (D, anti-codon, and T loops). Further hydrogen bonds mediate the characteristic L-shaped molecular structure. tRNAs have two regions of fundamental functional importance: the anti-codon, which is responsible for specific mRNA codon recognition, and the 3' end, to which the tRNAs corresponding amino acid is attached (by aminoacyl-tRNA synthetases). tRNAs cope with the degeneracy of the genetic code in two manners: having more than one tRNA (with a specific anti-codon) for a particular amino acid; and 'wobble' base-pairing, i.e. permitting non-standard base-pairing at the 3rd anti-codon position. The record is from Rfam by way of RNAcentral. Lineage: Eukaryota; Metazoa; Chordata; Mammalia; Proboscidea; Elephantidae.
GCAAUGGUGGUUCAGUAGUAGAAUUCUCGCCUUCCACGCAGAAGACCUGGAUUCAAUUCCUGGCCAGUGCA